Molecule: ribosomal RNA, 1057 nt
Filed under: uncultured Bacteroidales bacterium
Lineage: Bacteria; Pseudomonadati; Bacteroidota; Bacteroidia; Bacteroidales
Description: bacterial SSU rRNA
Rfam family: Bacterial small subunit ribosomal RNA
Source: RNAcentral
AACGCUAGCUACAGGCUUAACACAUGCAAGUCGAGGGGCAGCACAGUGUAGCAAUACACGGGUGGCGACCGGCGCACGGGUGCGUAACACGUAUCCAAUCUGCCCGUUACUCGGGGAUAGCCUUCUGAAAGGAAGAUUAAUACCCGAUGGCAUUCAUUAGCGGCAUCGCUUAUGAAUUAAAGAUUUAUCGGUAACGGAUGAGGAUGCGUACGAUUAGCUUGUUGGCGGGGUAACGGCCCACCAAGGCUACGAUCGUUAGGGGUUCUGAGAGGAAGGUCCCCCACACUGGAACUGAGACACGGUCCAGACUCCUACGGGAGGCAGCAGUGAGGAAUAUUGGUCAAUGGUCGAGAGACUGAACCAGCCAAGUAGCGUGAAGGAUGACUGCCCUACGGGUUGUAAACUUCUUUUGUUUGGGAAUAAAGUGAGGCACGUGUGCCUUUUUGUAUGUACCUUACGAAUAAGCAUCGGCUAAUUCCGUGCCAGCAGCCGCGGUAAUACGGAAGAUGCGAGCGUUAUCCGGAUUUAUUGGGUUUAAAGGGAGCGUAGGCGGGCUGUUAAGUCAGCGGUUAAAUGUCAAGGCCCAACCUUGUCAUGCCGUUGAAACUGGCGGUCUUGAAUGCACACAAGGGAGAUGGAAUUCGUCGUGUAGCGGUGAAAUGCUUAGAUAUGACGAAGAACUCCGAUUGCGAAGGCAGUCUCCUGGGGUGCUAUUGACGCUGAGGCUCGAAAGUGCGGGUAUCAAACAGGAUUAGAUACCCUGGUAGUCCGCACAGUAAACGAUGAAUGCUGGUUCUUGGCGAUAUACAGUCAGGAACUGAGGGAAACCAUUAAGCAUUCCACCUGGGGAGUACGCCGGCAACGGUGAAACUCAAAGGAAUUGACGGGGGCCCGCACAAGCGGAGGAACAUGUGGUUUAAUUCGAUGAUACGCGAGGAACCUUACCCGGGCUUGAAUUGCAGCUGCAUAGGAUAGAGAUAUCCUUUCCCUUCGGGGCUGCUGUGAAGGUGCUGCAUGGUUGUCGUCAGCUCGUGCCGUGAGGUGUCGGCUUAAGUGC